Long non-coding RNA from Anolis carolinensis (green anole), 1795 nucleotides. RefSeq lists it as uncharacterized. The record is from RefSeq and is a predicted model, not a curated record. Lineage: Eukaryota; Metazoa; Chordata; Lepidosauria; Squamata; Anolidae. The transcript has 4 exons.
GUUGGGUCUUGGACUAGAAAAAGGAUUAAAUAGGAACAACUGUUUCUUGUUCAUCAACUAGUAAUCUAAGGAUUUAUUUAUUCAUUUUAUGUAUUGAUACAGUGGGGUACAUAUAGAUUUAGGAAUAUACAAUAGGCUUGGCAUAAGUGGCCCUCCUCGUGGUAUCCCUCCAACUGCAGGAAAACCUACAAAGGGGUGGAGCAAGCAGUCGCGAGAGAUGAGCCUGGGAAAACUGAAUGGAUGCAUUUCCCAUGAGUGGAGCAUUGUUAUCCACUGGAUCCACCCCAUCGUGUUUAUAUCAUCAGUCUGAAUUAAUUCAAGAUUUUCAUUCCUUUCCAGGGCUUCUGUGCCAGUCUUCUGGGAAUACAGAAUUGUUCUUUAAGUGUGGGAGAUAUUGGAAAUGUACUUCAGCAUGUUUGUGGAAGAAUAUCUUUUGGAACCUGCUUGUGGAAGACAAAUAUGACAAUUUGCUGGUUGAAUUCAAAGUCAUGGCCAUGGACAAUAGUCUGAUUGUAAAUGUUUCCUGAAUCUCACUUUAAACUUCAGUGUGACGGAGUUCUCUUCUUCUGGAGAACAGAAAAAUGUUUUCAGGCGUCUCCUGUCAGCAAGCAAAGCAGCAACAAGCAGAAAUAAUUCAUCCUGAAAUAAAGAGUAGACGCUGGACGGGAGACGCUGGAUGUUCUAAAGACGUAAGAGCGAAAAAACAGAUGUAUUUCUCAACAUUGAUCUGCUUCAACAAAUCCUUCCUUCUCAUGGCUGGCUGCCUCCACUUCAGUCACACCAUGGAAGUGGAACACAUGAAUGAUAUCCAAGCAACUAAGAUGUCAAUAACUUUCAUAAUCAUCUCCGCUUUCUGUGUCCAUCUUGGACACCAUGGAAGUGGAACUCAUGAAUAUCUAAGCAACGAAGAUUUCAAUAACUUUCAUAAUCUUCUCUAUUCUCCAUGUCUAACUUGGACACCAUGGAAGUGGAAGAUACAAAUGAUAUCCAAGUAACUAAGAUGUUAAUAACUGUCAUAAUCUACUCCAUUCUCUGUUUUCACCUUGGACACUAUGGAAGUGGAAGAUGCAAAUGAUAUUCAAACAACUAAGAUGGCAAUAACUUUCAUGAACUUCACUGUCAAUGUCCAAGACUUUGGACACUAUGAAUAGAAGACCAAAGAAAACCACUUCUAUACUAUACUCAGACGUGGCAGAGGAAUGUUCUCCCCAUUUAAUCACAGUAGAAAACUCAUGUUAUGAACAGAUAUAGAUAUUGAUAUGAUUUUGCCACAAAUGUAUAUCCAUUUCCUCUAUUUAGACUGUGAAAGACCAUAUUGUCAUAUAUGGAUGUCUAAAUUUCAACAGCACCAAUGAUAUUAAAAGAUAUGCCCCUUCAAAAAUGAAUCCAAGUGUAUUAGACUGAAAUGUUAAGUUCAUAUUUCUGCUCAGUUUCCCAGUUUUAAAAGGGGUCUUUGCAUUGUGUUUGAUUACCCUCUCACAAUUGCAUUAUUUAUCCUUGAAAUAAGUUUUUUCCUAGUGUUAUUUGGGUUUUUCAAAAGAGAAGGGAAGAAAAAGAGAAAGAAAAUGCCUGAUCUUCACAAGGUCCAAUUUUGUUGGAAUAACAGUAUAUCUGGCAAUAUAGUUGCCUUGGGGUACACUAGUUGCUUGCUGGGAUAGUUGGGAUGAUGGAAGGUCUUCAUGUCUACAGAUGGGAUAAGGCUGUUUUCAACCAAUGAGUAUCCACAAUGACUUUGAGUCCCAACACUGUUCUGCUUUGCCUCACAUUUUAUUCCCAUUAAAUUGGAAAUAUCUAA